This is a long non-coding RNA of Lotus japonicus, 895 nucleotides long. RefSeq lists it as uncharacterized. Lineage: Eukaryota; Viridiplantae; Streptophyta; Magnoliopsida; Fabales; Fabaceae. The record is from RefSeq and is a predicted model, not a curated record. The transcript is spliced from 3 exons.
UUAUCCACGAUUUUCCCAGUUCCCACUGCUAGCUAGCUGUCUGGGAUUCUUAUGUUUCUCCCACUUUUAAAAUUUGAAAUUUGAAAUCCACCUCAAGUCCAUUUUCACAUACUGUAUUGCUCCCGGUUUGUGUUUUUUCCAGCUAUAUAUAAAUUAAGAGCAAGGCUUUCGGAUCUACCACACCCAUCCACCAACACUCAAUUGCUUUCCCACCUCCAGCCAACGCCUCCUUCAUCUUGUGUGUGAAGCCACACACAGCAACUUCCAAACCCCGGUGCUUCCGAAAAAUCCAUCGAUAAGAUCUCCUCCUCCUCCUCCUCCCUUUUGCUCAUUUAUCUUUGACCAUUUUCUUCUUUCAAUCGUUUUUUUGUUGUUCUUCUUCUCCUUUGUUUUCAUAUAUCAGAACAAGAGAGUGAGAGAGUGGGAAUCGUUUUUAUGCUCCACCCACACCUUCCAUGCAAGACAAGUUUGAAGAUAAUGAGGUGAUUUUUUAUUGGGAAAAGAGAAGGAGGUGGAUGGAUGAAUGUUAACGAGAAAGAGAACUCUCUGGAAUUUGGAGAAAGAGAGUGGGAGUUUGGUUUCAACUGUAAGGGAGGAACAAGAGGGCUAGAAAUAAAGCCAUAACAAACACAACCACCACUACAAUGGCAGUGAUAAGCAGAUGGUGUUCCUUCUUUUUUAUGUUUUUGAACUGAGGGUGGGGGCUGAUGCUGUUGCACGGGUUGCUAACAAGUUAUCCACAUAGACCUUGAUUUCCUGUUAAUUUGCACUAGAAAAAUUAGCUUGCAAGGCUAAUUAAACUGGUAGUAUUGUACAAUAAUGAGUUUGUAAGUAUGAAUUGACUGUCAUUGAAUAUUCUAAUUUAAUGAUUUUGCUGUCAAAAGCUGAAGGACAU